Molecule: ribosomal RNA, 442 nt
Filed under: uncultured bacterium
Lineage: Bacteria
Description: partial 16S ribosomal RNA
Rfam family: Bacterial small subunit ribosomal RNA
Source: RNAcentral
CUACGGGUUGCUCCAGUGGGGAAUAUUGCACAAUGGGGGAAACCCUGAUGCAGCAACGCCGCGUGAAGGAAGAAGGCUCUUGGGUUGUAAACUUCUUUGAAUGGGGACGAAACAAAUGACGGUACCCAUAAAACAAGCCACGGCUAACUACGUGCCAGCAGCCGCGGUAAUACGUAGGUGGCAAGCGUUAUCCGGAAUUACUGGGUGUAAAGGGCGUGUAGGCGGGAGAGUAAGUCAGAUGUGAAAUGCCAAGGCUUAACCAUGGAACUGCAUCUGAAACUGUUUUUCUUGAGUACUGGAGAGGAAAGUGGAAUUCCUAGUGUAGCGGUGAAAUGCGUAGAGAUUAGGAGGAACACCAGUGGCGAAGGCGGCUUUCUGGACAGUAACUGACGCUGAGGCGCGAAAGCGUGGGGAGCAAACAGGAUUAGAUACCCUGGUAGUC